RNAcentral lists this ribosomal RNA (165 nucleotides) under Syncarpha eximia. Its description in RNAcentral is "5.8S ribosomal RNA". It matches the Rfam family "5.8S ribosomal RNA". Rfam says of the family: 5.8S ribosomal RNA (5.8S rRNA) is a component of the large subunit of the eukaryotic ribosome. It is transcribed by RNA polymerase I as part of the 45S precursor that also contains 18S and 28S rRNA. Functionally, it is thought that 5.8S rRNA may be involved in ribosome translocation. Lineage: Eukaryota; Viridiplantae; Streptophyta; Magnoliopsida; Asterales; Asteraceae. The record is from RNAcentral.
CAAACGACUCUCGGCAACGGAUAUCUCGGCUCACGCAUCGAUGAAGAACGUAGCAAAAUGCGAUACUUGGUGUGAAUUGCAGAAUCCCGUGAACCAUCGAGUUUUUGAACGCAAGUUGCGCCCGAAGCCAUUCGGUUGAGGGCACGUCUGCCUGGGCGUCACACA